RNAcentral lists this ribosomal RNA (497 nucleotides) under uncultured bacterium. RNAcentral describes it as "partial 16S ribosomal RNA". It matches the Rfam family "Bacterial small subunit ribosomal RNA", at positions 28 to 507 of the family's 1533-position model. The record is from RNAcentral.
GAUGAACGCUGGCGGCGUGCCUAAUACAUGCAAGUCGAGCGAACAGAUGAGGAGCUUGCUCCUCUGACGUUAGCGGCGGACGGGUGAGUAACACGUGGAUAACCUACCUAUAAGACUGGGAUAACUUCGGGAAACCGGAGCUAAUACCGGAUAAUAUAUUGAACCGCAUGGUUCAAUAGUGAAAGACGGUUUUGCUGUCACUUCUAGAUGGAUCCGCGCCGCAUUAGCUAGUUGGUAAGGUAACGGCUUAUCAAGGCAACGAUGCGUAGCCGACCUGAGCGGGUGAUCGGCCACACUGGAACUGAGACACGGUCCAGACUCCUACGGGAGGCAGCAGUAGGGAAUCUUCCGCAAUGGGCGAAAGCCUGACGGAGCAACGCCGCGUGAGUGAUGAAGGUCUUCGGAUCGUAAAACUCUGUUAUUAGGGAAGAACAAAUGUGUAAGUAACUAUGCACGUCUUGACGGUACCUAAUCAGAAAGCCACGGCUAACUACGUG